UGGGGAAUAUUGGGCAAUGGGCGCAAGCCUGACCCAGCAACGCCGCGUGAAGGAAGAAGGCUUUCGGGUUGUAAACUUCUUUUACCAGGGACGAAGAAAGUGACGGUACCUGGAGAAUAAGCCACGGCUAACUACGUGCCAGCAGCCGCGGUAAUACGUAGGUGGCAAGCGUUGUCCGGAUUUACUGGGUGUAAAGGGCGCGUAGGCGGGAUGGCAAGUCAGAUGUGAAGUCCAUGGGCUUAACCCAUGAACUGCAUUUGAAACUGUCGUUCUUGAGUGAUGGAGAGGCAAGCGGAAUUCCUAGUGUAGCGGUGAAAUGCGUAGAUAUUAGGAGGAACACCAGUGGCGAAGGCGGCUUUC
Molecule: ribosomal RNA, 360 nt
Filed under: uncultured Clostridium sp.
Lineage: Bacteria; Bacillati; Bacillota; Clostridia; Eubacteriales; Clostridiaceae
Description: bacterial SSU rRNA
Rfam family: Bacterial small subunit ribosomal RNA
Source: RNAcentral